AACUCAAGAGUUGCGUACACACUUCUCAACAAUACACCCUACCACACGCCAUCCUCGCUUCCCAUUCCCGCCUUUUCCUCCCCUCACGUUACCGCCCGUCACUCACCGCCCCCUGCCAACCAACCUUUUUCAGCCCACCACUCAGCAGCUUCGUCAUCAUCCCUUAUCUCACCGCCCGUUACUCCAUCUUAUUCCAUCAUCAUCCUUCUCCGUUUCCAUCGCCUAUAAACUUUCUCACUCAAACCUCUCCUCCUUCCAUUCCAUGUCUUUCCGCUCACUACUGUCAUCAAAAUGUUGAAGUCGACGGCGUCGUUUCAGCUCACGGUCUUCCUCCUGUCGCUUCUGCUGUGUUCUUCGGCGGCGGAGGAGGAUUACGCUGACUUGGCCAAGUCCAAUUUCCCGUCUGUUCAGGCCCAGAAAUUCAUCAGAGAUCUCAAUCUCUUCCCCAAGGAGGAUGUCAAUGUCGUGAAAGCUUUCGGUGGACUCCUCGGGNNNNNNNNNNNNNNNNNNNNNNNNNNNNNNNNNNNNNNNNNNNNNNNNNNNNNNNNNNNNNNNNNNNNNNNNNNNNNNNNNNNNNNNNNNNNNNNNNNNNNNNNNNNNNNNNNNNNNNNNNNNNNNNNNNNNNNNCAGCAUUGAGCAUUCUCAUGCCGCCAAGUCAGUUCCUUUUCCCCCCCUUUUCUGUUUUUCCUUAGUUUUCUGUGGAGUAAGUUGGUAUAUGAUGGCGUGGCUGCUUUCUGAAUUGGGGGAAAAUUGGUGGUGUUUUCUGAUUUUAGGUUUUAGCUGAAUUGAUUGUGCGCAGGAGAUGCAGCUGCAUGUGCUUAUCAGUGUUGAUCUUUAUUAGAACUUUGUCUGCUAGUACAGUGAUUUUUGUCAUUUUCCAAGUAGAUGCUUGUUAGGUUGCUGGAUACAUGGUGACUCUUCAUUACAAGGCUAACAAAUUGUUGAUGUUGGGCUGUGUAGGAUGUUUUAUUUCUUCUUCGAAUCCCCCAAAAGCUUAUCAGUAUAACCAUUUCUCCAACAUCUACUCUAGUAUCGAUCUAAUUUGCUGCAAUCUAUCUUGCCGAAUUUCCCUGUUUAGCAUUCCAAUUUUCCGUAGGACAUGGGAUCAUGGAAACUCUGGUUCAAGCUGUCCACAAGUAUAAAAGAAUGUUUUUUCUUCCAAAAACUAAAGUGCUCAUAGGGCAUGGGUCAUGAACUCUGGUUCUCUUUUUUUUCCCCGCCUUUCUGCUACUUCAGCUCUGCAGCAGGUUACUAAGGAUGGAUGGAGUAGUUAACUGGUGUAACCAUUUUUGCAGGCAUCAAAUCUUAUAUAUGUUGAUCAGCCGACUGGAACUGGGUUCAGCUAUAGCUCUGACAAACGUGACAUUCGACAUGAUGAAGAUGGAGUUAGUAAUGACCUCUAUGACUUCUUGCAGGUAAGUUUCUUUUUUUUGGAUAAGUCAGCUUGUGAGCUCAGAUCUACCAUCUUGAUAUUCGGCUGAGUGGUUUUAAGUAACGUUUUUUUUUAUAUAUAUAGUUCCUGCAAGUAUAAAGACCAUUAUCUUCUAAGUCGUUGGUUUCUUCUGUUUUAACAUUAUCGUUAGAUAAGAUUGAUAGCUAGUUCCUCUUCUUAACCUCUAUGUUGAAUUAAUAUUUUAGGCCUUUUUCAAAGAGCAUCCUGAACUCGCAAAGAAUGACUUCUACAUCACUGGAGAAUCAUAUGCUGGCCACUACAUUCCUGCUUUUGCUUCUCGAGUUCACAGAGGGAACAAAAAUAACGAAGGGAUUCACAUUAACUUCAAGGUUUGUUGUUGAUAUUUCUGAAUUUGAAAGAGAUUUCUGCUCUACUUAUAUCUUCUUAACACAAAGUAAAAACAUUAUGCAGGGUUUUGCCAUCGGUAAUGGCCUUACAGAUCCUGGAGUGCAGUAUAAGGCUUACCCAGAUUAUGCACUAGAGAAUGGGAUAAUCAAGAAAGCACAAUAUGAUAAAAUUACCAAGAUGAUCCCGGUGUGUGAGAUGGCUAUUAAGCUUUGCGGUAAUGUCACAUUCCAGUAAUCCUGCCCUUGGCUUUGUCAUACUUAUUAAAAUCCAUAUGUUGUAUCUUCACAUAAUAUAUGAUGAUCCAGAAUCUUUCUCAUCAGCCUGGACUUAACACUAAUACACUAUUAUUACUGAUUUAUCUGUGUGAAAUUUAUUUGUAGAGUUCUUGAGGUUAACUUGAGGUUUUAUUAUGCUAUUGUUGAUAUAAAGCUCCAGGAAUCCUAUCAUCAAUGUUAAUUUCUAUUAUCCAGUUUAAUAAUAUACAUUUCUUUUUGGUUUCAGGAACUGACGGGUCCAUCUCUUGUAUGGCAUCCUAUUACGUUUGCACUGGCAUAUUUAAUUCUAUCAUGUCUGCUGCUGGCGGUAUAAAUGUAAGGUUCUCAACUCAUCCGUAUAUGAACUGUUCUGUUUACAAACUACUCUGAACUAGUUCAGUACUGCCCAUUUAUGCUUCUGACGAUUGGAUUUCAAAUUUAUUAUCGAACUUAUAUCGGUUAUGAAUACCGUUAGGGAGUCUCUCGGAACUGACUGGCACUUGUACUAUCGCUGCAGUAUUACGAUAUCCGAAAGCAAUGUGAAGGGAGCCUUUGCUAUGACUUCUCCAACAUGGAAAAAUUUCUCAACCUGAAUACCGUUAGGGAGUCGCUCGGUGUGGAGGAUAUAGACUUCGUAUCGUGCAGCCCAACUGUGUACGAGGCCAUGUUAAUGGACUGGAUGAAGAACCUCGAAGGGGGAAUCCCUGCUCUCCUUGAGGAUGGAAUCAAAAUGCUCAUAUAUGCUGGAGAAUAUGACCUCAUCUGCAAUUGGCUCG
RNAcentral lists this long non-coding RNA (2831 nucleotides) under Linum usitatissimum (flax). RNAcentral describes it as "long non-coding RNA (LUSI_LNC006880)". The record is from RNAcentral. Lineage: Eukaryota; Viridiplantae; Streptophyta; Magnoliopsida; Malpighiales; Linaceae.